Molecule: long non-coding RNA, 198 nt
Organism: Mytilus californianus (California mussel)
Lineage: Eukaryota; Metazoa; Mollusca; Bivalvia; Mytilida; Mytilidae
Exons: 2
Source: RefSeq, a predicted model, not a curated record
UUUUAUUGAUUUUGUAUUUGCAUUGUAUCAUAGAUCAAAUUUAUUCGUUCAGUGUAUGUUCACUUGUGUUAAUAUGUCUUUUGAUUGAGUUAAGCCAUUUCAAUUGACAUUUUAUAGUGUGUCUUUCUAUGUUGUGAUGUUACGCUAUUGUUUCAGAUAAGGGUGAAGGUUUGGUACCAUUAAAACGUUUAAACCCGC